UAGGGAAUCUUCGGCAAUGGACGGAAGUCUGACCGAGCAACGCCGCGUGAGUGAAGAAGGUUUUCGGAUCGUAAAGCUCUGUUGUAAGAGAAGAAUGAGUGUGAGAGUGGAAAGUUCACACUGUGACGGUAUCUUACCAGAAAGGGACGGCUAACUACGUGCCAGCAGCCGCGGUAAUACGUAGGUCCCAAGCGUUGUCCGGAUUUAUUGGGCGUAAAGCGAGCGCAGGCGGUUAGAUAAGUCUGAAGUUAAAGGCUGUGGCUUAACCAUAGUACGCUUUGGAAACUGUUUAACUUGAGUGCAAGAGGGGAGAGUGGAAUUCCAUGUGUAGCGGUGAAAUGCGUAGAUAUAUGGAGGAACACCGGUGGCGAAAGCGGCUCUCUGGCUUGUAACUGACGCUGAGGCUCGAAAGCGUGGGGAGCAAACAGGAUUAGAUACCCUGGUAGUCCACGCCGUAAACGGUGAGUGCUAGGUGUUAGACCCUUUCCGGGGUUUAGUGCCGCAGCUAACGCAUUAAGCACUCCGCCUGGGGAGUACGACCGCAAGGUUG
Molecule: ribosomal RNA, 550 nt
Filed under: uncultured bacterium
Lineage: Bacteria
Description: bacterial SSU rRNA
Rfam family: Bacterial small subunit ribosomal RNA
Source: RNAcentral